ACAACGACUCUCGGCAACGGAUAUCUCGGCUCUCGCAUCGAUGAAGAACGUAGCGAAAUGCGAUACUUGGUGUGAAUUGCAGAAUCCCGUGAACCAUCGAGUCCUUGAUCGCAAGUUGCGCCCGAAGCCAUCCGGCCGAGGGCACGUCUGCCUGGGCGUCACGC
This 164-nucleotide ribosomal RNA is filed under the name Punica granatum (pomegranate). Its description in RNAcentral is "5.8S ribosomal RNA". It matches the Rfam family "5.8S ribosomal RNA". From Rfam's summary of the family: 5.8S ribosomal RNA (5.8S rRNA) is a component of the large subunit of the eukaryotic ribosome. Lineage: Eukaryota; Viridiplantae; Streptophyta; Magnoliopsida; Myrtales; Lythraceae. The record is from RNAcentral.